This 442-nucleotide ribosomal RNA is filed under the name uncultured bacterium. Its description in RNAcentral is "bacterial SSU rRNA". It matches the Rfam family "Bacterial small subunit ribosomal RNA", at positions 42 to 497 of the family's 1533-position model. The record is from RNAcentral.
UCAGGCCUAACACAUGCAAGUCGAGCGGCAGCACGGGGAGCUUGCUCCCUGGUGGCGACGGCGGACGGGUGAGUAAUGCAUAGGAAUCUGCCCGGUAGUGGGGGAUAACCUGGGGAAACCCAGGCUAAUACCGCAUACGUCCUACGGGAGAAAGCAGGGGACCUUCGGGCCUUGCGCUAUCGGAUGAGCCUAUGUCGGAUUAGCUGGUUGGUGAGGUAAUGGCUCACCAAGGCAACGAUCCGUAGCUGGUCUGAGAGGAUGAUCAGCCACAUCGGGACUGAGACACGGCCCGAACUCCUACGGGAGGCAGCAGUGGGGAAUAUUGGACAAUGGGCGCAAGCCUGAUCCAGCCAUGCCGCGUGUGUGAAGAAGGCCCUCGGGUUGUAAAGCACUUUCAGUGGGGAAGAAAGCCUUCCGGUUAAUACCCNGAGGAGGGACCNCC